Molecule: ribosomal RNA, 402 nt
Filed under: Triticum aestivum (bread wheat)
Lineage: Eukaryota; Viridiplantae; Streptophyta; Magnoliopsida; Poales; Poaceae
Description: partial small subunit ribosomal RNA
Source: RNAcentral
AUGCUUCCUCCCUGCUGCUCCUCCUCCUCCGAGCCCAUCCUUUCAUCUCUGUCGCGAUGCCGUCUUCACCACCAUACCCGUGCCAUGGCUCGAUCUGCUGCUCCCAAGCGCAGCCACCUCGUCCCCAACCCCGAGCUUCUUCUCCCCUACCCUCUUUUCCUCGUCAUCUUCGUGUUUCCUUCUCUUUUUCUCCCGUUUACUCACAUCUCCCUCUAUCUCUCUUGCUCUCUAUUACAGGGAGGCCGCCAUGGACGCCCGAGGUCCUCCGCUUCGAGCCUCCGACCCACACCCCAGUGGCCCUGCCGACGUCGUCGCCUAGGUGAGCAGCUGCUGCACCGUGACGUUACCCCGAAGACCACCAUGCCCGCUGCAGAAGCUUCGAGCCGACCCUGCAGCAUGUAG